UAAUUGUCUGUAGUUUUUCUUGCAGUGUGAAAAUCCAGCCUCUCUAAAACUUCACAUUCAAUUUCAAAAGAAAAACUCUCUCUCUCUCUCUCCCCCUCUCUCAAGAAACAACAAUCCUCUUUUAGUCGUUUAAACUCUCUAUUUGAAGUUUGAUUCAAAUUCUGUGUUCUACUUCUGAGGAAUGCUUGCAUAGGCUGCAGAACUGUAUAGAUGUCGCCUAUGAUAGUUUAGUUUUAUCACACCAGGUACCCUUUCUUCUGAAGAAUCUAUUGAGAGUUAUGGUGUGACAAAUAUAGAAUCAUCACAACCUAUUUAAAAUAGAUAGAUCAAUUGCUCGUUUGUUGUAUAUUUAUCGUUCUUAUGAGUCCUUACCUUUUCAAUUCACACAUUUCAUGCAUUCAAUCAGGUCAUUAAUUUUUGAAACGUGAAUGUUCCCUGAUUGCAUUAUUCUAUAGUAUAUUUCCUUUCCUCUCAGAAGCUUUGAAGGCCUUACAAAAUGCUGCCUUUCUCGAAGAACUUUAUGGUAUAAUAUUUGAGCAGUAGAAGGAUAUGGGCUUGCCAGGAAAGGAUCCAUCAACAGAUUUUAGAUAGACCAUUGGAUCCUUUGUUAAAUUCCUUGAUAUUGCUCUCACCAUUUUCCACCAUCAUUGCCUUGUUAUGCUUAUGAUGCUUGCAUUUUUCUAUGGGUGAUGGUUUUAUCGUUGGAGAAUUUGUUGUUAUUUCCUAGGACCAGUAGUAUAUCUUGUUCGUCUUGUUUUGCAACCUUAGCCAACUUAAACGUCUUUGUGGUUCCCUCAGUUUUCAAAGAAUGUUUUUCUAGCUGACAUGCGAACUUGGAUAUUAAUUUUUUAAUGGACUCAACUGUAUUUAUGUUUGGCUUAUUGAGAUUGCUCUAUGUCAUGGAAUUUAUAGUUUUACUUUUAGUAAAUUGACUAAAUUCAAUUAUCUCAGUCAUGAAUAUGCAAAUUUCAUGAUUAACCUUUCCACUCCAAUAUUCUGCUUGUUUUUUUAUGGUUAUGUAGGGGGAGAAACCUCUUCCCAUAAGCAUCUCUUGAUCUUUAUUCAUGGUAUCAGUUAUUAGUCCAAAACUUAUGCACCUUUUGUCUGCAAGUAUAUUAAUUGAUCUUUGGCAUUGAGACAAAAUCCAGAACCUUGGCAAAGGUUCAUGGGUAGAAGGUGUUGUGGAUUCUAAAGAUAGAGUGGGAAAAUUUAUACCUAUGAAGAUGUUAAUUGAUUCUAAUCAGACCAACCCUAUUGAGGAAGUUUCUGUAAAGAUUCUAACUGGACCAAGGCAUUUGAGACCUAUAGGAGGAUUAUGUUAUUGUACAAGUUGUAGAUGUUGUUAAAGAUUCUAAAGAUGGGGUGGAAAAAUUUAUACUUGUGAAGAAGCUAGUCAAUGCUAAUGGCCUAAGAUUGCUCUCGUGUUUCA
Populus nigra (black poplar) is the source of this 1429-nucleotide long non-coding RNA. RefSeq lists it as uncharacterized. Lineage: Eukaryota; Viridiplantae; Streptophyta; Magnoliopsida; Malpighiales; Salicaceae. The transcript is spliced from 2 exons. The record is from RefSeq and is a predicted model, not a curated record.